AGCGGCAGCAGCAGCGAGCCAGCGACGAGCAGCGGCAGCAGUGAGCCAGCGACGAGCAGCGGCAGCAGCAGCGAGCCAGCUACGACCAGCGGCAGCAGCAGCGAGCCAGCUACGACCAGCGGCAGCAGCAGCGAGCCAGCGACGAGCAGCGGCAGCAGUGAGCCAGCGACGAGCAGCGGCAGCAGCAGCGAGCCAGCUACGACCAGCGGCAGCAGCAGCGAGCCAGCUACGACCAGCGGCAGCAGCAGCGAGCCAGCGACGAGCAGCGGCAGCAGUGAGCCAGCGACGAGCAGCGGCAGCAGCAGCGAGCCAGCUACGACCAGCGGCAGCAGCAGCGAGCCAGCUACGAGCAGCGGCAGCAGCAGCGAGCCAGCGACGAGCAGCGGCAGCAACAGCGACGUGUUCAGGGGCUGAAGGUCACGAGUUCGGCUGAAUUAGAGAUUUAGAGUCACUUUACUCACUUUAGGUUUUGGACUUUUGGGAAUCCGGAUUUUAUUUGUGUUCGGUUCGUCGGUUCGGUUUUUCGGUUUUUUUUUUAAAACCGAAAACCGAACCGAUUGAUUUUACUAUUUUUUCGGUAUUCCUAUUUCGGUUUUUUGGAUAUAAAAAAACCGCAAAAAAACCGAACCGAACCGAACGGUUCGGUUCGAUUUUUGAUUAAUCAACUUUUUUUGCCCACCCCUAGUUUUCACCAGAGCCCGACGCAGGUCCCCCCCUAUUUCCUACAAACUCUAAUUCAGGGGAGGGAGAAACGGCCAAAGGACGAGGGUAUUCAAGGGUAUCCCUGCCAUGGGAAGGACCUACGUUACUGGAGGGACCUAAGAAAUCGGUGGGUAUUGACGCGUUGAGGCCUGAAUCCCCUGAUUCUUCAUCAUCCUCAUCAACAAUUAAUUUUCUUUUUCGGUUUGACAUAUCGGAACCUCAAAAGAAAACAAAGAAAACUCGAAUAUAUGGACACAAAAAGGGCAACACAGAACCCAAUCAACAACAACCAGAGGAGAAGUUAAAGGCAAUACCUGGAUUGAACUGGCACUGAUAGCGCGGCCGUGAUAGAGGAAAAAUCCAGCGAGUGGAUACUCCAGGCACGAGAAGUAUAAGCAAAGUUCAGAGAGGGAGUCAGUUAACGACGAAGAGAUGAAUAAUAAAGCGAUGAAGAAAGAAGUCUAGGGAUUUGAAACGAAAAGGGAAAAAUGAAAGCAUUUAAGUGCAAGAGACGCCAGCUCACUCACCGUACAUCAAGGACAGAUAGCCCGUCGUUUCAAAUUUCAAAUAGGAAGAGUCAGGAGAUGCCGCGUCACCAGUCGUUAUACGAGGCCAGGCUAGCUGCAAGCCCAGAUACGCAAUGGACACACUCAUUUAGGCCCAUACUCAGGUCAAAAUCUCCCUUGAAGAAAAAUGAUACCUCAGGUCCAUCCCGAUAGAUGAAAGACCAGAGGAGAAGCCCCCGGAUUGGUAAGAUUUGAAUAUCAGUUUCUACUCUUGACUCAUUUCACUCACAAGACCAGAAACUGGGGGACUGGUGUUGAGCCAAUAAUGAUACCAGGUCGGCCAUAGUACUGUUUUCACCUCGGCAUGAAUCACCCCCGGCAUGAAUCACCUCAGCCAAGUGCUACGGUACGAGCAGAGCAGAGGGCAGCAUGAACCGAUCAGAGACGGAUACUGACCAAAGGUGUAUCCCGAGCUGAUACCCAUCUCCUGGAAAAGCGGGAACACGAUCCCACAUAAUUAUGGCGUUUGCAUUCUUCCCAGAACCGUUACGAGAGAUGCGAUACCCCACGUUUCCCAUGAUGUAGCAUUUAAAAGCAUUUAAAGGCCACUACCCGAAAAAGGAGGGAUGAAAAUUGAAGGAGAACGUGGGAUAACGGCUAUAAAAGAAGGAAAAAAGAGGAAGAGAGAGGGGGGCUGCAAAAUUGCAAUCAGACUCUUUUUCUUACAAAACGAGUUAGAAACCCUUCUUGAAUCGGAAUUACACUAUUUUUCAGUAAACACCUUGUGCUAACUUAAGCAUCGGAGGGUUUUACGCCGGCAAAACCACCGGCGUCUCUGACUUGUUUUUGUGAACGCAGGUCUAGUAAGAGAAAGCAAGGAGAUUCCACCCUAGUGAUCUGAGCAACAGCUGACAAUAUAAACGUUGGUGAAGGAAUCUGGUCGGUCACAACGCGAACGGAUUUAAGCAUCAACAUUUUGGCGCCGUCUGUGGGAAUCUGAAUAAAAAGCUACUGCCAAACGAUUUAUUAUCGGAGAAAUAAGAAACGAUUGGGUAUGGAGAAUGAAACGAUGGAGACAAGUACGCUCCGGGACAUUGCAAAUGAAGCCCGUGAGAAGGUGACGCAAGAUAGACUAGAGCGAAUGGAGAAACAAAUGGAGACUCUCACAGCCAUAUUGUUUGAACUGAGGGACGAGUGGAGAAGGGAUUGUGAAACCCCCGUGGGAAGAGAUGAAGUUGGAGCAAAACCCAGCCUCCGGGGGCGUAGAGUCGAGGAAGUCCCUCUGCCCGCAGUCCAACUUGAUGGGGUGCAUCCCAACAGAAGUACUGAUCGGGUCCCAGGAGAACACGUGGAUGAAGGGCGGGACCAACCUCGCCCCGGACGGGUCCUGGAAGUCAAUGGCCGAGGUGCCAAUGUUGACGAAGGAGAACUCAGACAACGGUUGCACAAUGCUGAGCUGGAACGAGACCAGAUAGCCGCACGUGAUCCUAACCGUGCUAUAGCAUUGGAGGGGGAGGUGCGCAGAUUGGCGCAGGUGAUAGAAGAGAUACAGGGCAAGAGAAAGCCCCUGAGCUGGAGGAUAAUGUUAGAUGACGAAUCUUCGUUAUCAACUGCGAUCAUGAGUACCAUUAUCCCAAGCGAUUUCCGCUUCCCCGACCUCAAAUACUCCGGGCGAAGUGAUCCGUUAAUGCAUAUUGAGCGUUUCAACGACAUGACGGGUGUGCAGGGGUUGACACCAGCUCAGAGGUGCCGGGUGUUCCCAUUGACGCUAGAGGGACGAGCUCGAGAGUGGUAUCGCAAGCUGACCCGAGGAAGUAUAAAGGGGUAUGAGCAGAUGUGCCAAGAGUUGGCCGAGCAGUUCCGAGGGGCAGUUGCCCCAGAGGACGACAUGAUGGAGCUGAUGGGGAUGAAACAGGAGGAGCAGGAAUCCCUUCGAGAAUUCGUCAAACGGUAUCACCGAGCCGUGCUGGAUCUGGGAGCUUUUAAUCACCCGCAGGCGUUGAGGGGAUUGAGAGAAGGUGUAAGAAUCGGCCGAUUAUGGUAUAACUUGAGAAGCCCCCUCAUACAGAAUUACUCGUCGGGGUACGAGCAGGCAAGGCGAGAUAUAGAAAUCGAAGAGGAGAAAUCAGCAAGAAUAAAAAGUGAACAGCUGGAAGAGCUGAGGCGAAAGGAACGGAGAGCCCCGAAAGGGGGUGGAUUGGGAAAGCGAACAAGCGAUUCUUCCGUGAUGGGCGGAAUAUCCACUCGGUCCCGACCUUACCCCAUAGCUCCGAGAUCACAACAGUUCCAGCACAACCGGGCACAACCUCCACGUCCCCCAUUUCCGGAUCGGCAGCGAGAAUUCCGGCAGAUGGCUGCCGACCCCUAUCACAACACUCCUAGAGCAUCACAUGCAACCAAUUCCAGAUUCUACCAGAAGACAAAAGGCAAGCAAGAAGAUUAAAAUGCAGAGCAGCGAGGUACACGUUACUAGAUGGAGUGCUGUACCGCCGAGGAUUCACCUUACCACUUUUGAGAUGUCUGGAUAAGGAGGAGGCAGACUAUGUAUUAAGGGAGAUUCAUGAAGGAAUAUGUGGAAAUCAUUCAGGAGCAAGAACUUUAGCCUUCAAAGCACUCCGGCAAGGAUACUUUUGGCCGACCAUGCAUCAGGAUGCGAAAAGAAUGGCAAAGAAUUGCAAAACCUGCCAAAGCUUCUCAGAGGUUCCCGCACAACCCCCAGAAAAACUGACCACUAUGACAUCCCCAUGGCCUUUUGCUCAAUGGGGAAUCGACCUGAUUGGUCCGUUACCGAAAGGCCGAGGAGCGACAACCCAUGCAAUCGUAGCAAUAGACUACUUCACCAAGUGGAUAGAAGUGGGGGUCCUUAGCCAAAUUACGGAGAGAAAGAGUCCUCAUGAAGAUGCAUUGGUAAUUAAGGCAAUGGUGGCCGGAACAGAAUUGCGACGAAUACUAGUAGACACAGGCAGCUCGGUUGACAUCCUAUUUAAGUCAGCUCUAGAUGAUAUGGGGAUUGCAGACGUGAAACUGGAACGGACAAAUACAUCCUUGAAGGGAUUUGGAGGGGGACGACUAACUCCCAUGGGGAUCAUCGAACUCCCAAUUACCGUGGGAUCAAAAUCGUAUGAAAGAACAAUGAUGUUGGAUUUCGUCGUGGUAGAAGAGAGAAGUCCUUAUCAGAUGAUAUUGGGGAGACCGUUCAUGAGGAUAAGCCAAUGUGUAAUGUCCACGCAUUAUCUGGCGCUGAAGUACAGAAUAAAUGGAGUUGUUGGUGUAGUAAAGGGCGACCAGAGAAUGGCCAGGAGCUGCUAUGCUACAGCGGCCAAGGAAACACUGCAGGUUACUUCUUUAGAUAACCGAGGGGAUUCAAAAAAUGGUCGCCAGGAACCUGUUGAGAAGCUGGAGGGGAUUGUUGUAAGUAGGAGUGACCCGAGCAAAGUGGUUAGAGUCGGAUCAGAAUUGGGUGAAGCAAUAAAAGGCGAGCUGGUGAAGUGUCUACAGUCCCAUGCGGACAUAUUUGCCUGGUCUCAUGAGGAUAUGCCAGGUAUUGAUCGAGGGGUAGCUUGUCACAAGCUGACAGUGAAGAAAGGGGCAAGGCCGGUGAGGCAGAAGAGGAGGUGCUUCAACCAGGAAAGGUACGAGGCCAUAAAUGCGGAGGUGGACAAGCUGCUGAAAGCAGGAUUUAUAAGGGAAGCCAAGUACCCGGAGGGGAUUUCCAAUGUAGUACUGGUAAAAAAGGCCAAUGGGAAGUGGAGAAUGUGUGUAGCGGAGAGAAAGACAACGGAUUUUAUCUAGAAGAACAUCAUCUGCAGAUACGGAAUCCCGUAUACCAUCAUCACCGAUAAUGGGAGGCAAUUUGACAACAACAGUGGACUCGACCGCAGGUCAUAGUCUGCUCAAUUUCAUGGAUGCCUUUUCCGGAUACAACUAGAUACCCAUGGACGAGCAUGAUGAAGAAAGCACCACAUUUAUAACUAACAUGGGUUUGUUCUGUUACAGGGUGAUGCCCUUUGGCCUAAAAAAUGCAGGAGCAACCUAUCAAAGGCUAGUGAAUAAGGUCUUCAAGCCAUUGAUCGGUCACACUAUGGAAGUAUACGUGGACGAUAUGACUAAGGCAAGUACUUCUGCUCGGUCAACGAAAGACCAGCAGCUAAAUUUACGAAAGACUAGAUUGGGAGAGAAGAAAAGAGCUUGGGUUGACGAGCUACCAGGGGUACUGUGGGCCUACCGGACAACUCACAAAACCGCCACAGGGGAGACCCCGUUUGCCUUAGCUUUUGGUCACGAGGCGGUAAUCCCAGCAGAAAUUGGAAUAGGAACACACCGGACGGAAUACUUCAAUAAGGAGCAAAAUGACGAGCAGAUCUGCUUGAGCCUGGACCUGCUGGAGGAGAAAAGGGAAGGGGCUUCGCAGAAAGUGGCCCAGUAUCAGCAAAGGGUCACGCGUUAUUACAACAAAAACGUACGUAUGAGGCAGUUCCGAACAGGAGAUUGGGUGCUCAGGAAGGUAAACCAAAAUACCAAGGAUCCUAACCAUGGAGCUCUUGGUCCGAAAUGGGAAGGCCCGUACAGGGUGAUACGAGCAACUGGUCCGGGAGCUUAUAAGUUAGCAUACCAAGAUGGACGAGACGUGAAGAGGCCAUGGAACGCCGAGCAUUUGAAGAAGUAUUUCCAGUAAGCAAAAUACUCUACUAAAUCUUCAAUUUGAUAAGUUCUAUUGGUCAAAUGCAUGCUGGCUUGGUGCACAUGCAUACAUUUUGUAUUUUUGUAACGCAUUCAAAUUUCAAUAAAGAUGAAUUCAGCAUGAAAUCCCCCGGCUAAUAAGCCCAUCAAAAAUCUGCUAAGGCAAGUAAGUGCCUAUUUCUGCUCGGUCAACGAAAGACCAGUAGCUAACUCUACAAAAAUCUGCUAAGGCAAGUAAAUGCCUACUUCUGUUCGGUCAACGAAAGACCAGCAGCUAACUCUACAAAAAUCUGCUAAGGCAAGUAAAUGCCUACUUCUGUUCGGUCAACGAAAGACCAGCAGCUAACUCUACAAAAAUCUGCUAAGGCAAGUAAAUGCCUACUUCUGUUCGGUCAACGAAAGACCAGCAGCUAACUCUACAAAAAUCUGCUAAGGCAAGUAAAUGCCUACUUCUGUUCGGUCAACGAAAGACCAGCAGCUAACUCUACAAAAAUCUACUAAGGCAAGUACUUCUGCUCGGUCAACGAAAGACCAGCAGCUAAAUUUACGAAGAUUUUACUAAGGCAAGUAAGUGCCUACUUCUGCUCGGUCAACAAAACACCAGCAGCUAAUUCUACAAAAAUCCUACUAAGGAAAGUAAGUGCCUAGUUCGGCUCGGUCAAUGAAGACUAGCAACCAGUUUUAUGGGAAUUUUAUUAAGGCAAGUAAAUACCUACUCCUGCUCAGUCCGCUAAGGAACCAGCAGGCAAAAUCUAUAAAGAAAGGGAGGAAGAUGGAAUGGACACUGGAAUGUGAGGAGGCAUUUGGACAACUGAAGGAAUACCUAGCCCGUGCCCCAUUACUAUCAACUCCGAGAGAGGGUGACCAGCUGCUUCUAUACUUGGCAAUCUCUAAGUGGGCUACCAGCUCGGUCUUAGUCAGGGAAGAAGAAGGGAAGCAACACCCGGUAUACUACACAAGCAAGACCCUGGUGGACGCAGAAACCAGAUAUCCACUAAUGGAGAAAUGGGCGCUGGCUCUGAUAACGGCAGCACGCAAAAUUCGACCAUAUUUCCAAGCCCACCAGAUCGUUGUGAUGACUGACCAGCCCCUUCGGCAGGUGCUUCAAAAACCAGACGCGUCUGGUCGGUUAGUAAAAUGGUCCGUGGAGCUGAGCGAAUUCGACUUAUCGUACAGGCCCCGAGGAGCAAUCAAGGCCCAAGCCCUGGCUGAUUUUAUGGUUGACCGUGCUGGACCUGGGGAAGAGGUCCAAGAAGAACAACCAGCAGAACAGGGGGAUAUAAAGAGGGUAUGGCAGGUAAUGGUUGAUGGGUCACGUAGUGAGCAGGGAUCCGGGGCAGGAGUUAUAAUACGAAGCCCAGAAGGUGUCGAGGUGUCUUAUGCAGUAAAGUUCGAGUUCCAGCUUACGAAUAACCAAGCUGAAUAUGAGGCCUUCAUUACUGGGCUCGGUUUGGCACAUGCAUUACGAGCAGAAAGGGUUGAAAUCCGAGCCGAUUCCCAGCUAGUAUGUAACCAACUCAACGACCAAUUCCAAGUAAGGGAAGAGAAGUUGGGACUUUAUUUGAAGAAGGCGAAGCAGAUGGUUGGGCUUUUCCAAGAGGUGGAGGUAAAGCAGAUAUCUCGAAAUGAGAAUUACCGAGCGGAUAUGUUGGCUAGGAUGGCUGCAAUUGCAGAUCCGAAAUUACCUAAAUCGGUUCCACUGGAGGUAAGGACCUCGCCAAGUAUAGGGGAGGAGGUAGAGGUGAUGAGAAUAAGCACUGGUGAAUCCUGGAUGGACCCGAUUCGCGCAUAUGUGCGCGAUGGAAUUCUACCAGAAGACAAAAGGCAAGCAAGAAGAUUAAAAUGCAGAGCAGCGAGGUACACGUUACUAGAUGGAGUGCUGUACCGCCGAGGAUUCACCUUACCACUUUUGAGAUGUCUGGAUAAGGAGGAGGCAGACUAUGUAUUAAGGGAGAUUCAUGAAGGAAUAUGUGGAAAUCAUUCAGGAGCAAGAACUUUAGCCUUCAAAGCACUCCGGCAAGGAUACUUUUGGCCGACCAUGCAUCAGGAUGCGAAAAGAAUGGCAAAGAAUUGCAAAACCUGCCAAAGCUUCUCAGAGGUUCCCGCACAACCCCCAGAAAAACUGACCACUAUGACAUCCCCAUGGCCUUUUGCUCAAUGGGGAAUCGACCUGAUUGGUCCGUUACCGAAAGGCCGAGGAGCGACAACCCAUGCAAUCGUAGCAAUAGACUACUUCACCAAGUGGAUAGAAGUGGGGGUCCUUAGCCAAAUUACGGAGAGAAAGACAACGGAUUUUAUCUAGAAGAACAUCAUCUGCAGAUACGGAAUCCCGUAUACCAUCAUCACCGAUAAUGGGAGGCAAUUUGACAACAACAACUUCAGAGAGUUUUGCCGUAACCUAGGGGUGGACCUGAAAUUUUGCACCCCCGCACACCCCCAGGCAAACGGACAAGUGGAAGCAGCCAACAAAGUGGUAAAGAAACUCCUAAAGACUAGAUUGGGAGAGAAGAAAAGAGCUUGGGUUGACGAGCUACCAGGGGUACUGUGGGCCUACCGGACAACUCACAAAACCGCCACAGGGGAGACCCCGUUUGCCUUAGCUUUUGGUCACGAGGCGGUAAUCCCAGCAGAAAUUGGAAUAGGAACACACCGGACGGAAUACUUCAAUAAGGAGCAAAAUGACGAGCAGAUCUGCUUGAGCCUGGACCUGCUGGAGGAGAAAAGGGAAGGGGCUUCGCAGAAAGUGGCCCAGUAUCAGCAAAGGGUCACGCGUUAUUACAACAAAAACGUACGUAUGAGGCAGUUCCGAACAGGAGAUUGGGUGCUCAGGAAGGUAAACCAAAAUACCAAGGAUCCUAACCAUGGAGCUCUUGGUCCGAAAUGGGAAGGCCCGUACAGGGCUGUUUUUCAGAAACAAUCUAUGAGCAAAAAUCGGACAAGAAAGCAAAUGAAGAGCAUCUACAAAUUUAUAAGUGUUCAAUUGUUUACAAAACAAAUGCAAAUCUAGAGUUUAUACAAAAAUAGGCUCAAAGCUUAGCAGAGUCAACGGCUCCAGCAACUGAAGGAUCAGCAAGCUCGGAAAGCAAGGGGUCAGCAACAUCAGGAGGUGGGAGAUCAGCACUGCCAGGAGGAGGAGGCAUGGACCCUUGACCCACCUCGAAAGGACGUCCCCCAGCUUCCCCCUCUUGCACCCCAUCCAAAGGAGCCUCCACCUGAUCCUGCUCACCCUGCCGCUUGUCCGCCUGGCCGACCUCUGCCAUAUACCGCUGCACUCCAGCCUCCAACUUGCUCGUGUCCAGCUCGGGAUAUUCUCCCUGAAGCACAGACAUGAUACACUUAUAGGAGAAAGCAACCCCCGAGUCAUACUCGGCGUCCAACCGAUCGUCCACAUCAGCAAAUUUGCCUUUCUCCUCAGCCAGCUGCUCAUUCAGGGAUUUGAUUUCUCCCUCAAGGGCGGUCCUUAAAGUAUCUCUUUCACUUUGAGUUACCUGAAGGUCCGACUUCAGGCCAUCCAACUCACCCUCAAACUUGGAGGCAGUAGACUCAGCAAUUGCAACUUUCUCCUCCAGCUCCGUAACCUGCUUGUUCAGCUCGGCUAGUUUCUCCUUGGAGCGGUCAGCAGAUUCAGCUUUCUUUUUCAACUCCUGAUUGUCAGCUUGAAGCUUCUUCUCACGACGGGCGGACCCGAUCUUGUAGCACGAGACCAUUGUGGACAGCCUGAAGGAGACUCUCUGAACAGAAGCAGCUAACUCGGAAAGCUCCAUAUUCUCAAUGUCCUUCACCAUCUUGGGCCCAACCGAUCUCUUGUACUCCUUCUGAUACGGGCUCAGAUAGUCACCCUGAUCCCGAGAUGGAAGAGGAGAAGAUCGGUCUCCAGAUUGUAAGCUGACCUCGGGGCUCUUGUCGGAAGUUCUCUCCCCACUACUCUUACGAGGUGGAGGAGGGGGUAAAGCAGGAACUGGAGCCUUAGAAGGACUGGCACUGACUUUCUUUUGAGGAGGAGGAGGGUAGCUCGAGCUGCUCGAUGCCCGACCACGUUUUCUGCUCAUCGCGCUGAGGAUCUUGUUAUCCAUCCCAGCGGCGAUAUCCACUAAGCCCGAACCGACCAGGUUUGUUGGUGACAGGAGGUCUUGACAAGUAGACGCGUUCACCAGAGCGGUUUCCACCUGGAGCAAAGGUCGGUCCUCGAGGGUCUUAAUCAAACCCCACGACUCUGAAAAAACAGACAAGGUUAAAGAACCCAAUAAGUAGCAAUUCGAGAAAAAAUGUAGGCAAAAAUGAACGACCUGGGGUGACAAAUUGCGUUGGAAGGUGAAUGUCACCGCCCAACGACCGAAUUGCUGGACACCAAUCUCCCCCAGCAAAGAAGAAUUUUUUCUUCCAAUUUUUGCACGAGGAGGGGAAACCGGUGAUGGGCUUCCUCUUCGCAGAACUGGACAUGAAGUAGUACCAGCCCGCCUCCCUUGGGCUACUCCGUAGCUGAUACAAAUGUUUCACCUCAACAAGGGAGGGCUCUUCCAACCCACAUCUCUCCCACAAUACAAACAUAGCGGAAAGAACCCUCCACCCGUUUGGGUGUAACUGACCUAGGGCCAGGUGCAUACCCCCCAAAAUUCUGGCAAAAUAGCGCUGAAGAGGCAGCCGAGCUCCUAGUUUGAAGCUCUCCAGGUGCAUGGUCACGUACCCCCGUGGAGGCCGACUAUGUACAUCACCUUUCUCAGGAACCACAAGGAGAACCUCCUUAGGAAUAUCAUAAAGGUUCCUAAGCUUGAACAGAUCAUCUCGGGUGGUGGCACAGGCUAUAUGAUCAAUGGGGUAAGAAUCUGCCUCUAUCCUAUGCCCAAGAUUUCGUUUCUCAAGAGGUCGGCUCGGCUCGGAGCUGCUUCCCUCACUAUCACCUGUUCCUAUAGGAACCCCGGCUCCACCAGACCUAUGGUUUUCACUAGGGGUGGGUGCGGUUCGGUUCGGUUCGGUUUUUUACUAUAUUUUUCAUAAUCGUUCGAUUACGAUUAUUUUAAAAUCAUAAUCGCGAUUAAUCAAAUUACUGAAAUAAUCAAAUACUCGAUUAAUUGAAAUAAUUCGGUUCGGUUCGGUUCGAUUAUUUCGAUUAUGGGCCUAUUGGGCCUAUUUUGGGCUUUUUCAAAUUUAAAACCUUAAAUUAAUAAAUCUACAACAAACAUAAAAAAUUAACAAACAAAAAAUCAAAAUAUGUCUCAAACAAUGUUCAAUAACACAUAAAAAAAUUAACACCACAGCAGCAACAAAUCAAAGAGAGAAUCUAGGAUCUGACACAUUCACUUAAAACUACCAAAGGAUAUCCAUUAUCCUCAAACAAUUUGUAUACAAUCUUCCAAAAGAUUACUCUUUGAUCACGCAUAACAAAUAACCAUACAAAAAUUUUUAUAUUAAAAUAAGCAAAUUUAAUACUAAAAAAUCUUGCCGCAUGCUGUUGUCUAAUGUUGCCCAUUUAUGAAAGCAAUAAAUUUCUUGUGAAAAUAUUAUAGAUUAUUUCCAGCAAUCACAGAAUCUAAAAGCUUGAGCUUGUGCUUAAUUAAACGUCUGACAAGGUUAUUUAAAUUUCUACUCACCUAUAUUUUAACUAUUUUUAUUAUUCUCAGGUUAUAUGGUUUUCAAUUUCAAACUCAAUAUUAGUCAAAGGAACAACGCUAAUUAAAAAGAUUAAAUUAAAUCAAGCAAUGCAUUAGCAAUCUGUAAAUUGAUUACUUAAGGUUAAGGAUCAACUUCUCAAAAUUAAUGCCCAGAAAAUAACUUAUUUUUAAAAGUUCAAAACAAACCCACUUAUUAUUAUUAUUAUUAUUAUUAUUAUUGGGAAGCAAUACAGAUUAGCUCCAGCAAAAUCGAUCCUGAAGAAGAGAUAACACAUUUGCUGCACGUCCUAUCUUUACAUGUGUGUACCCGCAAUAAUUAAUGAUUUGACUAAUAAGUUUGAUAUUAUAUAUAUAUAUAUAUAUAUAUAUAUAUAUAUAUGCACAANNNNNNNNNNNNNNNNNNNNNNNNNNNNNNNNNNNNNNNNNNNNNNNNNNNNNNNNNNNNNNNNNNNNNNNNNNNNNNNNNNNNNNNNNNNNACGAGCAGUGAGCCAGCGAUGAGCAGCGGCAGCAGCAGCGAGCCAGCGACGAGCAGCGGCAGCAACAGCGACGUGUUCAGGGGCUGAAGGUCACGAGUUCGGCUGAAUUAGAGAUUUAGAGUCACUUUACUCACUUUAGGUUUUGGACUUUUGGGAAUCCGGAUUUUAUUUGUGUUCGGUUCGUCGGUUCGGUUUUUCGGUUUUUUUUUUUAAACCGAAAACCGAACCGAUUGAUUUUACUAUUUUUUCGGUAUUACUAUUUCGGUUUUUUGGAUAUAAAAAAACCGCAAAAAAACCGAACCGAACCGAACGGUUCGGUUCGAUUUUUGAUUAAUCAACUUUUUUUGCCCACCCCUAGUU
RNAcentral lists this long non-coding RNA (12334 nucleotides) under Citrus sinensis (sweet orange). Its description in RNAcentral is "long non-coding RNA (CSIN_LNC005347)". The record is from RNAcentral. Lineage: Eukaryota; Viridiplantae; Streptophyta; Magnoliopsida; Sapindales; Rutaceae.